RNAcentral lists this ribosomal RNA (2922 nucleotides) under Klebsiella quasipneumoniae. RNAcentral describes it as "23S ribosomal RNA". It matches the Rfam family "Bacterial large subunit ribosomal RNA". Lineage: Bacteria; Pseudomonadati; Pseudomonadota; Gammaproteobacteria; Enterobacterales; Enterobacteriaceae. RNAcentral also lists the same sequence under 1 other name. The record is from RNAcentral.
GGGUUGUGAGGUUAAGCGACUAAGCGUACACGGUGGAUGCCCUGGCAGUCAGAGGCGAUGAAGGACGUGCUAAUCUGCGAAAAGCGUCGGUAAGGUGAUAUGAACCGUUAUAACCGGCGAUGUCCGAAUGGGGAAACCCAGUGCAAUUCGUUGCACUAUCGUUAACUGAAUACAUAGGUUAACGAGGCGAACCGGGGGAACUGAAACAUCUAAGUACCCCGAGGAAAAGAAAUCAACCGAGAUUCCCCCAGUAGCGGCGAGCGAACGGGGAGCAGCCCAGAGUCUGAAUCAGCUUGUGUGUUAGUGGAACGGUCUGGAAAGUCCGACGGUACAGGGUGAUAGUCCCGUACACCAAAAUGCACAGGCUGUGAACUCGAAGAGUAGGGCGGGACACGUGGUAUCCUGUCUGAAUAUGGGGGGACCAUCCUCCAAGGCUAAAUACUCCUGACUGACCGAUAGUGAACCAGUACCGUGAGGGAAAGGCGAAAAGAACCCCGGCGAGGGGAGUGAAAAAGAACCUGAAACCGUGUACGUACAAGCAGUGGGAGCACCUUCGGGUGUGACUGCGUACCUUUUGUAUAAUGGGUCAGCGACUUAUAUUCUGUAGCAAGGUUAACCGUAUAGGGGAGCCGCAGGGAAACCGAGUCUUAACUGGGCGUUAAGUUGCAGGGUAUAGACCCGAAACCCGGUGAUCUAGCCAUGGGCAGGUUGAAGGUUGGGUAACACUAACUGGAGGACCGAACCGACUAAUGUUGAAAAAUUAGCGGAUGACUUGUGGCUGGGGGUGAAAGGCCAAUCAAACCGGGAGAUAGCUGGUUCUCCCCGAAAGCUAUUUAGGUAGCGCCUCGUGAACUCAUCUUCGGGGGUAGAGCACUGUUUCGGCUAGGGGGUCAUCCCGACUUACCAACCCGAUGCAAACUACGAAUACCGAAGAAUGUUAUCACGGGAGACACACGGCGGGUGCUAACGUCCGUCGUGAAGAGGGAAACAACCCAGACCGCCAGCUAAGGUCCCAAAGUCAUGGUUAAGUGGGAAACGAUGUGGGAAGGCACAGACAGCCAGGAUGUUGGCUUAGAAGCAGCCAUCAUUUAAAGAAAGCGUAAUAGCUCACUGGUCGAGUCGGCCUGCGCGGAAGAUGUAACGGGGCUAAACCAUGCACCGAAGCUGCGGCAGCGACACUAUGUGUUGUUGGGUAGGGGAGCGUUCUGUAAGCCUGCGAAGGUGACCUGUGAGGGUUGCUGGAGGUAUCAGAAGUGCGAAUGCUGACAUAAGUAACGAUAAAGCGGGUGAAAAGCCCGCUCGCCGGAAGACCAAGGGUUCCUGUCCAACGUUAAUCGGGGCAGGGUGAGUCGACCCCUAAGGCGAGGCCGAAAGGCGUAGUCGAUGGGAAACAGGUUAAUAUUCCUGUACUUGGUGUUACUGCGAAGGGGGACGGAGAAGGCUAUGUUAGCCGGGCGACGGUUGUCCCGGUUUAAGCAUGUAGGCUGGUUAUCCAGGCAAAUCCGGAUAAUCAAGGCUGAGGUGUGAUGACGAGGCACUACGGUGCUGAAGUAACAAAUGCCCUGCUUCCAGGAAAAGCCUCUAAGCAUCAGGUAACAUCAAAUCGUACCCCAAACCGACACAGGUGGUCAGGUAGAGAAUACCAAGGCGCUUGAGAGAACUCGGGUGAAGGAACUAGGCAAAAUGGUGCCGUAACUUCGGGAGAAGGCACGCUGGUGUGUAGGUGAAGUCCCUGCGGAUGGAGCUGAGACCAGUCGAAGAUACCAGCUGGCUGCAACUGUUUAUUAAAAACACAGCACUGUGCAAACACGAAAGUGGACGUAUACGGUGUGACGCCUGCCCGGUGCCGGAAGGUUAAUUGAUGGGGUUAUCCGUAAGGAGAAGCUCUUGAUCGAAGCCCCGGUAAACGGCGGCCGUAACUAUAACGGUCCUAAGGUAGCGAAAUUCCUUGUCGGGUAAGUUCCGACCUGCACGAAUGGCGUAAUGAUGGCCAGGCUGUCUCCACCCGAGACUCAGUGAAAUUGAACUCGCUGUGAAGAUGCAGUGUACCCGCGGCAAGACGGAAAGACCCCGUGAACCUUUACUAUAGCUUGACACUGAACAUUGAGCCUUGAUGUGUAGGAUAGGUGGGAGGCUUUGAAGCGUGGACGCCAGUCUGCGUGGAGCCAACCUUGAAAUACCACCCUUUAAUGUUUGAUGUUCUAACGUGGGCCCCUGACCGGGGUUGCGGACAGUGUCUGGUGGGUAGUUUGACUGGGGCGGUCUCCUCCCAAAGCGUAACGGAGGAGCACGAAGGUUAGCUAAUCCUGGUCGGACAUCAGGAGGUUAGUGCAAUGGCAUAAGCUAGCUUGACUGCGAGCGUGACGGCGCGAGCAGGUGCGAAAGCAGGUCAUAGUGAUCCGGUGGUUCUGAAUGGAAGGGCCAUCGCUCAACGGAUAAAAGGUACUCCGGGGAUAACAGGCUGAUACCGCCCAAGAGUUCAUAUCGACGGCGGUGUUUGGCACCUCGAUGUCGGCUCAUCACAUCCUGGGGCUGAAGUAGGUCCCAAGGGUAUGGCUGUUCGCCAUUUAAAGUGGUACGCGAGCUGGGUUUAGAACGUCGUGAGACAGUUCGGUCCCUAUCUGCCGUGGGCGCUGGAGAAUUGAGGGGGGCUGCUCCUAGUACGAGAGGACCGGAGUGGACGCAUCACUGGUGUUCGGGUUGUCAUGCCAAUGGCACUGCCCGGUAGCUAAAUGCGGAAGAGAUAAGUGCUGAAAGCAUCUAAGCACGAAACUUGCCCCGAGAUGAGUUCUCCCUGAGACUUUAAGUCUCCUGAAGGAACGUUGAAGACGACGACGUUGAUAGGCCGGGUGUGUAAGCGCAGCGAUGCGUUGAGCUAACCGGUACUAAUGAACCGUGAGGCUUAACCUUACAACGCCGAAG